GACAAGAUGGCGCUACACGUUGCUCAGUCAUAUUGCUCAGAGUUUCGCCCAUGUCGGUUUAGAUCGUCCGUCUGCCGUUUCGUUCUGCUCUGCAAUGCAACAAAUGUUCACCAUAUUUGAAAAAAACCUGAAAACCAGUUGCUGUAACCUGCGAUAAGGAUCUUGUCUGUGCCAGCUAUGAUUCACUAUCUUUUAUAUUCCAACAACGCUAUCACAGGAAGGGGUGUGCCCCUCUCGGCGUGUGCCAAUAUCUAAAGCAAAUUGUUACGUCCAACAUCAAGUGCUGUGACACAGAUUUCUGCAAUUAGAUGUCCAUAGAGCUGAACCACGACAUCUCUGAACUGAGAGACGACCUCGUCAUGUUUUCUGUUAUUUUUGUUGCUGUUGUUUGUAAAUCAUAUAUUCAGCAAUGACAGUCUAUUUAGUUUAUUCUCUCUGAUGGUCUUUUUAGUGAGAUCCUGUACUUUCCUAAUAAAUUCUUUUAA
Molecule: long non-coding RNA, 485 nt
Organism: Clarias gariepinus (North African catfish)
Lineage: Eukaryota; Metazoa; Chordata; Actinopteri; Siluriformes; Clariidae
Exons: 3
Source: RefSeq, a predicted model, not a curated record